GCGGUCAAUGCCACACGAGCGUGACAGCGAUAUAAUUAUGCGCGUGCGAUAGAGAUAGGAAAUGGCGGGUCAAUGAACCAAGUUCUCCCUGCUUAGCGUCCUUACUUUACCUAAAAAUAUUAGACUGAAUAAACAAUAGAUGCGAGACUAACAAACAGUGUUUGUUGAUCAAUCGAUUUCAUAAUAGCAACUAAGUAUGUAUCUUGUGAAUAGAUCAUAAGAUUUACUUUGCAUUGGCACUAACUUUCACUAUGUUAGAUCACCACAUCUAUUUUUAAUUUCAUGUUAAAACCUUUUUGUAUAAUUUUCAUAAUUAAACCAUUAAUUGUUAGUUUAAGGGUGUUAAAGAAAAUUAUACAUUUAAAAAUAACAUAAAAAAAAACUUGUUAAACAGUUGAGCAUAAAUGAAAUUAAAAUAACGCAUUAAAAAUCCUAUAAUUAUCUCCUAGCUGAGGAUGUUACGUGGCUAUUACAUGUAAGAAGAAUGUCCAAAUCGGCAUGAAAAAGUUACUUUUUUAGUUGAAUACGCCUCGCCUUUCUUUCUGUUAUUUCUGUAGGUACAGUUAUAGCCACUUUUACUGUUCAUAAUAAUUACUAAUAAUUAGAUAUUUAACCCGCGACGCAAAAAGAGCGGUGUUAUAUGUUUGACGCUAAUCUCCUGUCUGUCUGUGGCAUCGUAGCUCUCCAACGGAUGGACCUAUUUCGAUGCGUUUGAUGAGUAUCAGCUCUUUUCCAAAAUGAUGUAAGGCAUUUUUGGCAUAAAAUUGUUUUUUUUGGCGCACAGCGUAGGUUAUAUAUUUUUUAAUUUAAUAAAUAUUACUGCACACAAAGGCUAGGGGAAGUAAAUAAGCCAAAUAAGUAUCUUUUUCAUGCAUUUUAUAACAAGAGGAUAUUUUGUUCUAUUAAUAUAAAAAUCAUAUCACAGAAAGAUGCAUUAUAAAAAAUUAACUUAAACUGGUGUUUUGACUAGUACAUACAAUUUUUAUAAUAUAAUUCCGCUGAACAAAACAUUUUCAAUUAAUCUGAUUUCGAAACCAUAUUGAAUUCAAGUAAACAUACACAUAGCAUACGUAAAUAUACUUAAAAUGUUACCUAGGAAUCAGA
This is a long non-coding RNA of Cydia splendana, 1104 nucleotides long. RefSeq lists it as uncharacterized. Lineage: Eukaryota; Metazoa; Arthropoda; Insecta; Lepidoptera; Tortricidae. The transcript is spliced from 2 exons. The record is from RefSeq and is a predicted model, not a curated record.